UACGUAGGGUGCGAGCGUUGUCCGGAAUUAUUGGGCGUAAAGAGCUUGUAGGCGGUUUGUCGCGUCUGCUGUGAAAAUUCAGGGCUUAACCCUGGACGUGCAGUGGGUACGGGCAGACUAGAGUGUGGUAGGGGAGACUGGAAUUCCUGGUGUAGCGGUGGAAUGCGCAGAUAUCAGGAGGAACACCGAUGGCGAAGGCAGGUCUCUGGGCCAUUACUGACGCUGAGAAGCGAAAGCAUGGGGAGCGAACAGGAUUAGAUACCCUCGUAGUCC
RNAcentral lists this ribosomal RNA (273 nucleotides) under uncultured Micrococcales bacterium. RNAcentral's name for it is "partial 16S ribosomal RNA". It matches the Rfam family "Bacterial small subunit ribosomal RNA", at positions 524 to 796 of the family's 1533-position model. Lineage: Bacteria; Bacillati; Actinomycetota; Actinomycetes; Micrococcales. The record is from RNAcentral.